Molecule: ribosomal RNA, 182 nt
Filed under: uncultured Staphylococcus sp.
Lineage: Bacteria; Bacillati; Bacillota; Bacilli; Caryophanales; Staphylococcaceae
Description: partial 16S ribosomal RNA
Rfam family: Bacterial small subunit ribosomal RNA
Source: RNAcentral
CGGGGCUAAUACCGGAUAACACAUGAAACCGCAUGGUUUCAUGAUGAAAGACGGUUUUGCUGUCACUUAUAGAUGGACCCGCGGCGUAUUAGCUAGUUGGUAAGGUAACGGCUUACCAAGGCAACGAUACGUAGCCGACCUGAGAGGGUGAUCGGCCACACUGGAACUGAGACACGGUCCAG